GUGUACGUACAAGCAGUGGGAGCACGCUUAGGCGUGUGACUGCGUACCUUUUGUAUAAUGGGUCAGCGACUUAUAUUCUGUAGCAAGGUUAACCGAAUAGGGGAGCCGAAGGGAAACCGAGUCUUAACUGGGCGUUAAGUUGCAGGGUAUAGACCCGAAACCCGGUGAUCUAGCCAUGGGCAGGUUGAAGGUUGGGUAACACUAACUGGAGGACCGAACCGACUAAUGUUGAAAAAUUAGCGGAUGACUUGUGGCUGGGGGUGAAAGGCCAAUCAAACCGGGAGAUAGCUGGUUCUCCCCGAAAGCUAUUUAGGUAGCGCCUCGUGAAUUCAUCUCCGGGGGUAGAGCACUGUUUCGGCAAGGGGGUCAUCCCGACUUACCAACCCGAUGCAAACUGCGAAUACCGGAGAAUGUUAUCACGGGAGACACACGGCGGGUGCUAACGUCCGUCGUGAAGAGGGAAACAACCCAGACCGCCAGCUAAGGUCCCAAAGUCAUGGUUAAGUGGGAAACGAUGUGGGAAGGCCCAGACAGCCAGGAUGUUGGCUUAGAAGCAGCCAUCAUUUAAAGAAAGCGUAAUAGCUCACUGGUCGAGUCGGCCUGCGCGGAAGAUGUAACGGGGCUAAACCAUGCACCGAAGCUGCGGCAGCGACGCUGAUGCGUUGUUGGGUAGGGGAGCGUUCUGUAAGCCUGUGAAGGUGUGCUGUGAGGCAUGCUGGAGGUAUCAGAAGUGCGAAUGCUGACAUAAGUAACGAUAAAGCGGGUGAAAAGCCCGCUCGCCGGAAGACCAAGGGUUCCUGUCCAACGUUAAUCGGGGCAGGGUGAGUCGACCCCUAAGGCGAGGCCGAAAGGCGUAGUCGAUGGGAAACAGGUUAAUAUUCCUGUACUUGGUGUUACUGCGAAGGGGGGACGGAGAAGGCUAUGUUGGCCGGGCGACGGUUGUCCCGGUUUAAGCGUGUAGGCUGGUUUUCCAGGCAAAUCCGGAAAAUCAAGGCUGAGGCGUGAUGACGAGGCACUACGGUGCUGAAGCAACAAAUGCCCUGCUUCCAGGAAAAGCCUCUAAGCAUCAGGUAACAUCAAAUCGUACCCCAAACCGACACAGGUGGUCAGGUAGAGAAUACCAAGGCGCUUGAGAGAACUCGGGUGAAGGAACUAGGCAAAAUGGUGCCGUAACUUCGGGAGAAGGCACGCUGAUAUGUAGGUGAAGCGACUUGCUCGUGGAGCUGAAAUCAGUCGAAGAUACCAGCUGGCUGCAACUGUUUAUUAAAAACACAGCACUGUGCAAACACGAAAGUGGACGUAUACGGUGUGACGCCUGCCCGGUGCCGGAAGGUUAAUUGAUGGGGUCAGCGCAAGCGAAGCUCUUGAUCGAAGCCCCGGUAAACGGCGGCCGUAACUAUAACGGUCCUAAGGUAGCGAAAUUCCUUGUCGGGUAAGUUCCGACCUGCACGAAUGGCGUAAUGAUGGCCAGGCUGUCUCCACCCGAGACUCAGUGAAAUUGAACUCGCUGUGAAGAUGCAGUGUACCCGCGGCAAGACGGAAAGACCCCGUGAACCUUUACUAUAGCUUGACACUGAACAUUGAGCCUUGAUGUGUAGGAUAGGUGGGAGGCUUUGAAGUGUGG
RNAcentral lists this ribosomal RNA (1624 nucleotides) under Escherichia coli. RNAcentral's name for it is "partial 23S ribosomal RNA". It matches the Rfam family "Bacterial large subunit ribosomal RNA", at positions 558 to 2167 of the family's 2925-position model. The record is from RNAcentral. Lineage: Bacteria; Pseudomonadati; Pseudomonadota; Gammaproteobacteria; Enterobacterales; Enterobacteriaceae.